This 94-nucleotide small nucleolar RNA is filed under the name Capronia coronata CBS 617.96. Its description in RNAcentral is "A. fumigatus snoRNA Afu_300". It matches the Rfam family "A. fumigatus snoRNA Afu_300". Lineage: Eukaryota; Fungi; Ascomycota; Eurotiomycetes; Chaetothyriales; Herpotrichiellaceae. The record is from Rfam by way of RNAcentral.
UAUCAUGAUGAUCAUUCUUUCAAUAUAAUAUACGCUGGAAAUUACCGGCUGAGACUUUCGAGUUGUUGAAGAUAUCAAAUGGCUAUAUCUGAUU